RNAcentral lists this ribosomal RNA (775 nucleotides) under uncultured Neocallimastigales. RNAcentral's name for it is "partial large subunit ribosomal RNA". It matches the Rfam family "Eukaryotic large subunit ribosomal RNA", at positions 22 to 637 of the family's 3401-position model. Lineage: Eukaryota; Fungi; Neocallimastigomycota; Neocallimastigomycetes; Neocallimastigales. The record is from RNAcentral.
CUAUACAUGACUCUGCGCAUAUCAAUAAGCGGAGGAAAAGAAACUAACAAGGAUUCCCCUAGUAACGGCGAGUGAAGCGGGAAGAGCUCAAAUUUGAAAUCUUAAAGGGUUUCCCUUUACGAAUUGUAGUUUAAAGAAGUGUUUUCUGCUGAGGUUUUGGUAAAAGUCCUUUGGAAUAGGACAUCAUAGAGGGUGAGAAUCCCGUAUUUGACCUACUAUUUCAGCUUUGUGAUACACUUUCAAAGAGUCGGAUUGUUUGGGAAUGCAGUCCAAAAUGGGUGGUAAACUUCAUCUAAAGCUAAAUAUUGGCGAGAGACCGAUAGCGAACAAGUACCGUGAGGGAAAGAUGAAAAGAACUUUGAAAAGAGAGUUAAACAGUACGUGAAAUUGUCAAAAGGGAAGCGUUUGACACCAGUGUUGUUUUUCUGAAAAUCCAAUUAAAGAACUGUUUAUGCUAAGUUGUUUAGACUUUAUCAGCUAACUGUUUAGUUUUGAGCUUUUCUUUGAUGCACUUUUCAGUUAACAAGUCAACAUCAAUUUCUUUUGCUGUAAAAAAGCUUGAGGAAGGUGGCUUGAGAUUCGUCUUAAGUGUUUAUAGCCUCUUGCCUAUGCAGUCGGAGAGAUUGAGGUCUGCAGCGUAGAUCCUUCGGGGCUAAAUGCAUUUGUGCUAAGUUAUAGCAUUUUAUAGACAACUUGUUGACUAUGAUUUGUCUUGUAGCUUACUCGCUUAUGUUAUUUUACCUACGCUUAGGAUGUUGACAGCAGUAUAGACUGU